UGGGCAACCUGCCCUGUACUGGGGAAUAAUCAUUGGAAACGAUGACUAAUACCGCAUGUGGUCCUCGGAAGGCAUCUUCUGAGGAAGAAAGGAUUUAUUCGGUACAGGAUGGGCCCGCAUCUGAUUAGCUAGUUGGUGAGAUAGCAGCCCACCAAGGCGACGAUCAGUAGCCGACCUGAGAGGGUGAUCGGCCACAUUGGGACUGAGACACGGCCCAA
RNAcentral lists this ribosomal RNA (218 nucleotides) under uncultured bacterium. RNAcentral's name for it is "partial 16S ribosomal RNA". It matches the Rfam family "Bacterial small subunit ribosomal RNA", at positions 118 to 334 of the family's 1533-position model. The record is from RNAcentral.